Molecule: long non-coding RNA, 2079 nt
Organism: Scophthalmus maximus (turbot)
Lineage: Eukaryota; Metazoa; Chordata; Actinopteri; Pleuronectiformes; Scophthalmidae
Exons: 2
Source: RefSeq, a predicted model, not a curated record
CCGGACGCGGGCUCGUCGCCCUCGAACAGCUGGUUCACCUCCCCCUGGAUGUCGGAGGGGCGCCGCUCGCCGUCGCUCUUGGAGACGGUGAACCUCUGGCUCAUGGCUGUCGCCCGGUGAGACAAGCGGCGACCGCGAGAACACUUCCAGAAGGGAUUUUUUUGGAGAAAACAAGUGACCCACAUGCCCCAGCAGAAGGCCAGUCAACAACUCACUCAGCAGGACAGAGGGCCGCUGGCUCCAUUGAAACAACAUAACUAUGCCACAGUAUAUUACCUUAUUUACUACCAGGUGGAAAAAGCUCUGAAUGAAUCCAAUAAGGCUUGUAAUAAAUGUUUUAUCUGUAAUUCCCAAUGGGGAUUUAAUGUUGUUGUUUUCACUUUAAAGGCCCAGUAAACGUAUUGUUUCUCAAUCAGCCUUUCACUGUUAGUAAUGGCAUCCUACACGAACACAGCGUUUGACAGUUUUGUUGUUUUCACAUUUCUCUUUUCACGCGUCUGAAGUGUCAUCAGCUCAUGAGAAAAGGCUGAUGUCACGUACAUCUGUGCACCAUCAGGAUUUAAAAAUAUCACAUAUAUUUGCAGAGUAUGUAACUCUCUUAAUCAAUAAUACCAAAAUAUGUUCUGUAACUUUGAUUGUUGCUUAUUUAUUCAGGAAUGUUUUAUGACAGAUUGGAAUAAAUAAUGAUCAAUAUUUUUAGAACAACAAUAUGUCAAAUGGUAAUGUGAGAGGGGGUAACUCAAUGUGAUGAACCAACUGAAUGUGCCGCUCCCCCUUGACUCUACAAGACUCUAUUGUUCAAAUUCAUUGUUUCUCUGCGUGGCUACAACUGUACUUGUGUUGGUUCACUCUCAUUCCUUUUUCGUUUCUGGCAAAGCAGGCAGCUGUUUUUCAGCCAAAGUUGAUCAUUGUAUGCAAAUGUUACCAGCUUCCACAAAGGUAUAAUCUGAUAUAUGAGGGUACUUCAUUUCAUCAGGGAAUUAGAAGUCAAGUUAAGUCACGCUUUAUUGUAACGCACAUUUAAAAACAAGGGGUUGAGUAAAGUGCUUUAUGUAGCAAAGGGAAGGCAAAAAAGUACAGAUGAAGAGAAUAAGUAGUGCAAUGAUCUGAAUCUUCAAUAGUGGGGAGAGAUUAUUCCCAAACUUGGGAGCAGCAACAGAGAAAGUCUGGCUCCCUUUAGUUUUAGGAAAGGAUUUCACCUUCAUUUGAAAGUUUGUGUGUCUGACAUUGGAUGAAUGGAAUUCAUGUCAACUAGCCAGUUAGUUAAAGUAGCCAGCAUCCCAAUGAGCAUCUUUCAGACAUGCACUGAAGUCCGGACAUUUUCCAGAACUUUUCUGGAUGUGAGAAUGCAAAUGUUGCUCACAACCUCCUGUUUUCCAGAACUCUUCCUGCCAGCCCCACUUGUAAAAUUGAAGAAGAAUGUCCCAGAAACUUUCCUGCUGAUGUGAAUGUGUCUGACUUCGACACUCUCCUGCUGCGUUUUUCAUAUACAAACAGCAAAUCUCUGGAAAAUGUCUUCUCGACAACUCAUUCACAGAUCCACAUCCCCUUUCUCCUGGAUUUUCAUUAAAAACUUGCUGAACUGCUCAUAAUUCUGCUCUUUGGUCCCCAAUCUGCUCAGCCCUAACAACAUGUAGUGCAUAGUUCUGCAACAGUAAAAACACUGAUUUCUUAAAUAUGAUAACACAAAAAUCUCAUUUUAAAUUCGUUUAAAAUUGUUACCCUGCUAGUAAUCCCAAUUUUUAAAAAAAAGCAUCUGUAAUCUGAACGCCGUUCCAUGUAUUCCGUUACUCCCCAAAUUUUGAGCGCACCCACAAACUCCACACGGUGCUUUUGUAUCUUUAAACAUGCGUAUAUAUAUUUAUAUAUAUUCAAAGGUGUAAGGCUACCUGUAUAUGAUAUAAGUUUGAUAGAAUAAUUACUGUGAUAUGGUAAUGAAUGUAAUAUAAUUUCUAUUAUUACUAGUAAUUACUACAAUUGUCUUAUAUUAUUAUUGCAUAUCCUUACUAUGUUUACCCAUAUGUGCCUUUCUAUUCUAUGCUGAUCUGUGCUCAUUCAAUAAAGAAAUGGUUGAAUUUC